RNAcentral lists this long non-coding RNA (281 nucleotides) under Lathyrus oleraceus (garden pea). RNAcentral's name for it is "Pisum sativum (pea) long non-coding RNA (PSAT_LNC027238)". Lineage: Eukaryota; Viridiplantae; Streptophyta; Magnoliopsida; Fabales; Fabaceae. The record is from RNAcentral.
UGGUUUUGAAAAUGGUUGAAUGAUGAAUGAGAAAUCUGAUUUUUAAGUUGUGUUGAUGAUUAUGUUUUUACUUGAUUCUCCCAUGUUAAGUUGAUUUAAUGAAAAUGGAGUUUGGAUUAUGCAUGUGUGUUGUUUGCUGGUCAUAAUGGUAUGCUCAAUUUACAUUUCUGGGCAAAUAUUUUUUCGAUUUUGUGGAUGAAGAUGAAGCUCCACUGUAGCAGCAAACCCUAAUUUCAUGGCUGCCCAGAAUUUGUUUUACGUACGUUGCAUGUUGUUGCUAC